AUAGUUUGAUCAUGCGGUCACAUUGAACGCUGGCGGCUGGCUUAACACAUGCAAGUCUAGCGGGCGAGGUUGCUUCGGUAACUGAGCUAGCGGCGGACGGGUGAGUAAUGCUUAGGAAUCUGCCUAUUAGUGGGGGACAACAUUCCGAAAGGGAUGCUAAUACCGCAUACGUCCUACGGGAGAAAGCAGGGGCUCUUUAUGACCUUGCGCUAAUAGAUGAGCCUAAGUCGGAUUAGCUAGUUGGUGGGGUAAAAGCCUACCAAGGCGACGAUCUGUAGCGGGUCUGAGAGGAUGAUCCGCCACACUGGGACUGAGACACGGCCCAGACUCCUACGGGAGGCAGCAGUGGGGAAUAUUGGACAAUGGGGGGAACCCUGAUCCAGCCAUGCCGCGUGUGUGAAGAAGGCCUUUUGGUUGUAAAGCACUUUAAGUGGGGAGGAGGCUUACCUGGUUAAUACCUGGGCUAAGUGGACGUUACCCACAGAAUAAGCACCGGCUAACUCUGUGCCAGCAGCCGCGGUAA
RNAcentral lists this ribosomal RNA (523 nucleotides) under uncultured Acinetobacter sp. Its description in RNAcentral is "bacterial SSU rRNA". It matches the Rfam family "Bacterial small subunit ribosomal RNA", at positions 1 to 523 of the family's 1533-position model. Lineage: Bacteria; Pseudomonadati; Pseudomonadota; Gammaproteobacteria; Moraxellales; Moraxellaceae. The record is from RNAcentral.